This 485-nucleotide ribosomal RNA is filed under the name uncultured bacterium. RNAcentral describes it as "partial 16S ribosomal RNA". It matches the Rfam family "Bacterial small subunit ribosomal RNA", at positions 28 to 523 of the family's 1533-position model. The record is from RNAcentral.
GACGAACGCUGGCGGCGUGCUUAACACAUGCAAGUCGAACGGUGAAAGCGGAGCUUGCUCCGCUGGAUCAGUGGCGAACGGGUGAGUAACACGUGGGCAACCUGCCCCUCACUUCGGGAUAACUCCGGGAAACCGGGGCUAAUACCGGAUAUGACCUCCUUGGGCAUCCUUGGAGGUGGAAAGUUUUUCGGUGAGGGAUGGGCCCGCGGCCUAUCAGCUUGUUGGUGAGGUAGGGGCUCACCAAGGCGACGACGGGUAGCCGGCCUGAGAGGGCGACCGGCCACACUGGGACUGAGACACGGCCCAGACGCCUACGGGAGGCAGCAGUGGGGGAUAUUGCGCAAUGGGCGAAAGCCUGACGCAGCAACGCCGCGUGCGGGAUGACGGCCUUCGGGUUGUAAACCGCUUUCAGCAGGGAAGAAGCCGCAAGGUGACGGUACCUGCAGAAGAAGCACCGGCUAACUACGUGCCAGCAGCCGCGGUAA